This 440-nucleotide ribosomal RNA is filed under the name uncultured bacterium. RNAcentral's name for it is "partial 16S ribosomal RNA". It matches the Rfam family "Bacterial small subunit ribosomal RNA", at positions 338 to 795 of the family's 1533-position model. The record is from RNAcentral.
CCUACGGGAGGCAGCAGUAGGGAAUAUUGCUCAAUGGGGGAAACCCUGAAGCAGCAACGCCGCGUGGAGGAUGAAGGUUUUAGGAUUGUAAACUCCUUUUGUUAGAGAAGAUUAUGACGGUAUCUAACGAAUAAGCACCGGCUAACUCCGUGCCAGCAGCCGCGGUAAUACGGAGGGUGCAAGCGUUACUCGGAAUCACUGGGCGUAAAGAGUGCGUAGGCGGGGUAAUAAGUCAGCUGUGAACUCCUGUAGCUUAACUACAGAACUGCCUUUGAAACUGUUACUCUGGAGUGUGGGAGAGGUAGGUGGAAUUCUUGGUGUAGGGGUAAAAUGCGUAGAGAUCAAGAGGAAUACUCAUUGCGAAGGCGACCUGCUGGAACAUGACUGACGCUGAUGCACGAAAGCGUGGGGAGCAAACAGGAUUAGAUACCCGAGUAGUC